AAAAAAAAAAACUCCUAAAACCAAAACAAAACCAACCGACUAAAGUCGAUAAACCUAGCCAAACGCUAACACUAUUCCGUUCGCCGCUUGAACCCUUACCACCGUGAUGCGAUCCACCACCUCCUCCAAAACUUGGAUGCACUCCUCGUCCUCCCAUAGACCUCUCUCCACUGCCACCCCCCGUGUUCACCUCCACCGAAACUGUGUCCACCUCCACCUCCGCUGUGUCCACCUCCACCUCCGCCGUGUAUACCUCCGACGUGUCCACCUCCGCCAUGUCCACUUCCGCCGUGUCCACCUCCGCCACCCCUCUUAACAACGACAGUUAAUUCCACUGUUUUAUCAGAAAAACCGUCACCGUCAUGUUUUGACUCAACUGACUGGACCUGAAGAUUGACAUGGCUUGGAUCAACGGUGGCUAAACGUGUAGUAGAUCGUGAGGUGGCUUGAAAAACUUGUGCUGGAGAAGGAGAAAAAAUAUGAAGUAUAGAAUCAAAGAACCUUUCGUAGAAACCAUAAUUGUCUUCGCUUUUCUUCAGAUGCAGUUGGCAACAUGAAACUGGUCAAUGGACAGUCUCACAUUGAGUGUUGUAUCCUUGACGAAGUGGAAAUAGCAACCACUCCAUGUGUUAUGAUUCAUCUGCAAUCACAAGAGGACCUGUUAUGAAGCUUUACUUUUGGGAAAAGACUGCAACAGACUUCUGCAAGAAAUUUACAGCCUAUAAAAACACUCCCACCUUGCUUUUAGUCACGACGGUGAACACGAAACAUCUUGGAGACGUCUCUGCUCCUGUUUGUGACGUUAACCUUGGAGAAUUUUGUUCUUUAUCUAUUUGAACUUCAUAUAGCUCGAACUGGGAUCUUUAGGUUGUCCUUUUGAUCUCUUCCUUGCAAAUCAUUUAACUUCGCAAAACAGAGUGCUCUUCAAGCAGCCUGUCACAGCUGUCGAGAUCUUGCAGAUGAGGGGAAUAACAGUACCUGUCACAGUGACGAACCAAAGAAAGCAAAGGUCCUAAACAUGGAAAUGAGAGCUCUCACCACUCAUCUCAGAGUGGUGACCCCUUCGUUUGCAGUUUCAGUCUUCUUUUUUCAGUUUGAGCAUUGGCUAAAGCUUUCGUUUUAGUUAACAUCUUUCAGUGUUUGAUUUUUCUUUUUUUCAGUGAGAUAAGCCUGAAACGCAGACAAGCUCUGAGUGCAGGAAGCACAAGGAGUAUUACUCUCAAGGGAGAGGUUACAUCUCAUCACAGCCGUACUCAACGUGGAGUUAGGGAUCAUGGCUUCGAACUGAGACCUCGUGGGGAUGUUCAUACAUCCCUGUGAGAUCCACAGCGUCUGGAAACCACAUCUUGAUCUGACAUCAAAGCGAGGGAGGAACCCGGAGAUGGAGGACUGUAAAGCGUCCCAGCAAGAAGCGGCGGAGGAGAGCGGCGGGGAGAAUGAACCUGUCUUGCGGAGGUGGUGAGAGUAGACGAGACGGAGGCCUUGGAGGAGGUACUGGAAAAUAAAAAAUAUUUGGUAAUUUCUUCAGUAUGAGCAUUGGCUAAAGGCUUUCGUUUUAGUUAACAUCUUUCAGUGUUUGAUUUUCCUUUUUUCCCCUGCAAUCAGUUUACAUAUUGAGUAAUUUUUUAUUAGGUGAUGAUUAUAAGCUUUUAAAACAAUCACUUGGUAUUUUCAAUUAUAAUUGUGGUUUCUCUGCUGAGUGUUUGCUAUUUAUGCAUCACUCUUUCUCUGUUAAUUUGAAAAC
Long non-coding RNA from Raphanus sativus (radish), 1744 nucleotides. RefSeq lists it as uncharacterized. The record is from RefSeq and is a predicted model, not a curated record. The transcript is spliced from 4 exons. NCBI's taxonomy places the organism in Eukaryota, Viridiplantae, Streptophyta, Magnoliopsida, Brassicales, Brassicaceae.